AACAGGAUUAGAUACCCUGGUAGUCCACGCCGUAAACUAUGGAUGCUAGCUGUUAGAGGUAUCGACCCCUCUAGUAGCGAAGCUAACGCGUUAAGCAUCCCGCCUGUGGAGUACGGUCGCAAGACUAAAACAUAAAGGAAUUGACGGGGACCCGCACAAGCGGUGGAGCGUGUUGUUUAAUUCGAUAGUAAGCGAAGAACCUUACCCAGGCUUGACAUCCUUGGAAUUUCUCCGAAAGGAGAGAGUGCUUUAUUGAGCCAAGUGACAGGUGAUGCAUGGCCGUCGUCAGCUCGUGUCGUGAGAUGUUUGGUUAAGUCCAUCAACGAGCGCAACCCUUGUGAUUAGUUGAAUUUUUCUAAUCAGACUGCCCUGGUAACAGGGAGGAAGGGGGGGAUGAUGUCAGGUCAGUAUUUCCCUUACGUCUGGGGCUACAAACACGCUACAAUGGCCGGUACAAAGGGCUGCCAAGUCGCGAGACGGAGCAAAUCCCAUCAAAGCCGGUCUCAGUUCGGAUAGCAGGCUGAAACUCGCCUGCUUGAAGCUGGAAUCGCUAGUAACGGUAGGUCAGCACACUACCGUGAAUACGUUCCCGGGUCUUGUACACACCGCCCGUCAAACCAUGAAAGUCGCCAAUACCUGACGUGUUGCCCUCGUGCAGCCCUAAGGUAGGGGAGAUGAUUGGGGUUAAGUCGUAACAAGGUAACC
Molecule: ribosomal RNA, 705 nt
Filed under: uncultured bacterium
Lineage: Bacteria
Description: bacterial SSU rRNA
Rfam family: Bacterial small subunit ribosomal RNA
Source: RNAcentral